AACGAACGCUGGCGGCAUGCCUAACACAUGCAAGUCGAACGAUGCCUUCGGGCAUAGUGGCGCACGGGUGCGUAACGCGUGGGAAUCUGCCUUUCGGUUCGGAAUAACUCAGGGAAACUUGAGCUAAUACCGGAUAACGUCGCAAGACCAAAGAUUUAUCACCGAAAGAUGAGCCCGCGUAGGAUUAGCUAGUUGGUGAGGUAAAGGCUCACCAAGGCGACGAUCCUUAGCUGGCCUGAGAGGAUGAUCAGCCACACUGGGACUGAGACACGGCCCAGACUCCUACGGGAGGCAGCAGUGGGGAAUAUUGGACAAUGGGCGAAAGCCUGAUCCAGCAAUGCCGCGUGAGUGAUGAAGGCCUUAGGGUUGUAAAGCUCUUUUACCCGGGAAGAUAAUGACGGUACCGGGAGAAUAAGCCCCGGCUAACUCCGUG
This 433-nucleotide ribosomal RNA is filed under the name uncultured bacterium. Its description in RNAcentral is "partial 16S ribosomal RNA". It matches the Rfam family "Bacterial small subunit ribosomal RNA", at positions 29 to 507 of the family's 1533-position model. The record is from RNAcentral.